GUAACCUGCCUGGUAGCGGGGGAUAACUAUUGGAAACGAUAGCUAAUACCGCAUAACAGUAGAUAUUGCAUGAUAUCUGCUUGAAAGGGGCAAUUGCUCCACUACCAGAUGGACCUGCGUUGUAUUAGCUAGUUGGUGAGGUAACGGCUCACCAAGGCGACGAUACAUAGCCGACCUGAGAGGGUGAUCGGCCACACUGGGACUGAGACACGGCCCAGACUCCUACGGGAGGCAGCAGUAGGGAAUCUUCGGCAAUGGACGGAAGUCUGACCGAGCAACGCCGCGUGAGUGAAGAAGGUUUUCGGAUCCGUAAAGCUCUGUUGUAAGAGAAGAACGAGUGUGAGAGUGGCAAGUUCACACUGUGACGGUAUCUUACCAGAAAGGGACGGCUAACUACGUGCCAGCAGCCGCGGUAAUACGUAGGUCCCGAGCGUUAUCCGGAUUUAUUGGGCGUAAAGCGAGCGCAGGCGGUUAGAUAAGUCUGAAGUUAAAGGCUGUGGCUUAACCAUAGUACGCUUUGGAAACUGU
RNAcentral lists this ribosomal RNA (528 nucleotides) under uncultured Bacilli bacterium. RNAcentral describes it as "bacterial SSU rRNA". It matches the Rfam family "Bacterial small subunit ribosomal RNA", at positions 121 to 636 of the family's 1533-position model. Lineage: Bacteria; Bacillati; Bacillota; Bacilli. The record is from RNAcentral.